GACGAACGCUGGCGGCGUGCUUAACACAUGCAAGUCGAACGGAAAGGCCCUGCUUUUGUGGGGUGCUCGAGUGGCGAACGGGUGAGUAACACGUGAGUAACCUGCCCUUGACUUUGGGAUAACUUCAGGAAACUGGGGCUAAUACCGGAUAGGAGCUCCUGCUGCAUGGUGGGGGUUGGAAAGUUUCGGCGGUUGGGGAUGGACUCGCGGCUUAUCAGCUUGUUGGUGGGGUAGUGGCUUACCAAGGCUUUGACGGGUAGCCGGCCUGAGAGGGUGACCGGCCACAUUGGGACUGAGAUACGGCCCAGACUCCUACGGGAGGCAGCAGUGGGGAAUACUGCACAAUGGGCGGAAGCCUGAUGCAGCAACGCCGCGUGCGGGAUGACGGCCUUCGGGUUGUAAACCGCUUUCGCCUGUGACGAAGCGUGAGUGACGGUAAUGGGUAAAGAAGCACCGGCUAACUACGUGCCAGCAGCCGCGGUGAUACGUAGGGUGCGAGCGUUGUCCGGAUUUAUUGGGCGUAAAGGGCUCGUAGGUGGUUGAUCGCGUCGGAAGUGUAAUCUUGGGGCUUAACCCUGAGCGUGCCUUCGAUACGGGUUGACUUGAGGAAGGUAGGGGAGAAUGGAAUUCCUGGUGGAGCGGUGGAAUGCGCAGAUAUCAGGAGGAACACCAGUGGCGAAGGCGGUUCUCUGGGCCUUUCCUGACGCUGAGGAGCGAAAGCGUGGGGAGCGAACAGGCUUAGAUACCCUGGUAGUCCACGCUGUAAACGGUGGGUACUAGGUGUGGGGUCCAUUCCACGGGUUCCGUGCCGUAGCUAACGCUUUAAGUACCCCGCCUGGGGAGUACGGCCGCAAGGCUAAAACUCAAAGGAAUUGACGGGGCCCCGCACAAGCGGCGGAGCAUGCGGAUUAAUUCGAUGCAACGCGUAGAACCUUACCUGGGUUUGACAUGGAUCGGGAGUGCUCAGAGAUGGGUGUGCCUCUUUUGGGGUCGGUUCACAGGUGGUGCAUGCCUGUCGUCAGCUCGUGUCGUGAGAUGUUGGGUUAAGUCCCGCAACGAGCGCAACCCUUGUUCACUGUUGCCAGCACGUUAUGGUGGGGACUCAGUGGAGACCGCCGGGGUCAACUCGGAGGAAGGUGGGGAUGACGUCAAGUCCUCAUGCCCCUUAUGUCCAGGGCUUCACGCAUGCUACAAUGGCUGGUACAGAGAGUGGCGAGCCUGUGAGGGUGAGCGAAUCUCGGAAAGCCGGUCUCAGUUCGGAUUGGGGUCUGCAACUCGACCUCAUGAAGUCGGAGUCGCUAGUAAUCGCAGAUCAGCAACGCUGCGGUGAAUACGUUCCCGGG
This 1343-nucleotide ribosomal RNA is filed under the name uncultured bacterium. Its description in RNAcentral is "16S ribosomal RNA". It matches the Rfam family "Bacterial small subunit ribosomal RNA", at positions 28 to 1378 of the family's 1533-position model. The record is from RNAcentral.